GGGCACAUGGUGUAGUUGGUUUAUCACGCUCGCUUAGCAAUGUUAUGUGCGAGAGGUGUCCGGUUCAAUUCCGGAUGUGUCCA
Non-coding RNA from Russula brevipes, 83 nucleotides. The record is from the annotation of a GenBank genome assembly. NCBI's taxonomy places the organism in Eukaryota, Fungi, Basidiomycota, Agaricomycetes, Russulales, Russulaceae.